AGCAGCCGCGGUAAUUCCAGCUCCAAUAGCGUAUAUUAAAGUUGUUGCAGUUAAAAAGCUCGUAGUUGAAUUUCGGGAUCAAUAUGUCGGUCGUGCCUUCGGUACGUACUGGUAUCAUUGGUCUCUCCUUUCUGACGAACCAUGAUGUCAUUAAUUUGGUGUUAUGGGGAGUUAGGACUGUUACUUUGAAAAAAUUAGAGUGUUUAAAGCAGGCUUUAGCUUGAAUACAUUAGCAUGGAAUAAUGAAAUAGGACGUUCGAACCUAUUUUGUUGGUUUCUAGGAUCAACGUAAUGAUUAAUAGGGAUAGUUGGGGGCAUUAGUAUUCAAUUGUCAGAGGUGAAAUUCUUGGAUUUAUUGAAGACUGACUACUGCGAAAGCAUUUGCCAAGGAUGUUUUCAUUAAUCAAGAACGAAAGUUAGGGGAUCGAAGACGAUCAGAUACCGUCGUAGUCUUAACCAUAAACUAUGCCGACUAGGGAUCGGAUGAUGUUAAUUUUUAAUGACUCAUUCGGCGCCUUAC
RNAcentral lists this ribosomal RNA (520 nucleotides) under uncultured Glomus. RNAcentral's name for it is "SSU rRNA". It matches the Rfam family "Eukaryotic small subunit ribosomal RNA", at positions 569 to 1091 of the family's 1831-position model. Lineage: Eukaryota; Fungi; Glomeromycota; Glomeromycetes; Glomerales; Glomeraceae. The record is from RNAcentral.